RNAcentral lists this ribosomal RNA (423 nucleotides) under uncultured bacterium. Its description in RNAcentral is "bacterial SSU rRNA". It matches the Rfam family "Bacterial small subunit ribosomal RNA", at positions 355 to 775 of the family's 1533-position model. The record is from RNAcentral.
UGGGGAAUUUUGGACAAUGGGGGCAACCCUGAUCCAGCGACGCCGCGUGAAGGAUGAAGGUCUUCGGAUUGUAAACUUCUUUUAAAGGGGAUGAACUGACCGUUGAAGAAGCGGUUUUGACAGUACUCUUUGAAUAAGCCACGGCUAACUACGUGCCAGCAGCCGCGGUAAUACGUAGGUGGCAAGCGUUACUCGGAAUCACUAGGCGUAAAGCGCAGGUAGGCGGUUUGAUAAGUCUUUUGUGAAAGCUCCCGGCUCAACUGGGAGAGGCCAAAGGAAACUGUCAGGCUAGAGUGUGGCAGAGGAAGCUAGAAUUCCCGGUGUAGCGGUGAAAUGCGUAGAUAUCGGGAGGAAUACCUAUGGCGAAAGCAGGCUUCUGGGCUAUCACUGACGCUGAUCUGCGAAAGCUAGGGGAGCAAACAG